Molecule: ribosomal RNA, 301 nt
Filed under: uncultured bacterium
Lineage: Bacteria
Description: partial 16S ribosomal RNA
Rfam family: Bacterial small subunit ribosomal RNA
Source: RNAcentral
CAGCCGCCGCGGUAAUACGUAGGUGGCAAGCGUUGUCCGGAAUUAUUGGGCGUAAAGGGCUUGCAGGCGGUUUCUUAAGUCUGAUAUGAAAGCCCCCGGCUCAACCGGGGAGGGUCAUUGGAAACUGGGAAACUUGAGUGCAGAAGAGGAGAGUGGAAUUCCACGUGUAGCGGUGAAAUGCGUAGAGAUGUGGAGGAACACCAGUGGCGAAGGCGACUCUCUGGUCUGUAACUGACGCUGAGGAGCGAAAGCGUGGGGAGCGAACAGGAUUAGAUACCCCCGUAGUCCCUGUCUCUUAUAC